GCAGUCGAGCGGUAAGGCCCUUCGGGGUACACGAGCGGCGAACGGGUGAGUAACACGUGAGCAACCUGCCCCUGACUCUGGGAUAAGCGGUGGAAACGCCGUCUAAUACCGGAUACGACCCGCCACCUCAUGGUGGAGGGUGGAAAGUUUUUCGGUCAGGGAUGGGCUCGCGGCCUAUCAGCUUGUUGGUGGGGUAACGGCCUACCAAGGCGAUUACGGGUAGCCGGCCUGAGAGGGCGACCGGCCACACUGGGACUGAGACACGGCCCAGACUCCUGCGGGAGGCAGCAGUGGGGAAUAUUGCGCAAUGGGCGAAAGCCUGACGCAGCGACGCCGCGUGGGGGAUGACGGCCUUCGGGUUGUAAACCUCUUUUACCACCAACGCAGGCUUCCAGUUCUCUGGAGGUUGACGGUAGGUGGGGAAUAAGGACCGGCUAACUACGUGCCAGCAGCCGCGGUAAUACGUAGGGUCCGAGCGUUGUCCGGAAUUAUUGGGCGUAAAGAGCUCGUAGGCGGCGUGUCGCGUCUGCUGUGAAAGACCGGGGCUUAACUCCGGUUCUGCAGUGGAUACGGGCAUGCUAGAGGUAGGUAGGGGAGACUGGAAUUCCUGGUGUAGCGGUGAAAUGCGCAGAUAUCAGGAGGAACACCGGUGGCGAAGGCGGGUCUCUGGGCCUUACCUGACGCUGAGGAGCGAAAGCAUGGGGAGCGAACAGGAUUAGAUACCCUGGGUAGUCCAUGCCGUAAACGUUGGGCGCUAGGUGUGGGGACUUUCCACGGUUUCCGCGCCGUAGCUAACGCAUUAAGCGCCCCGCCUGGGGAGUACGGCCGCAAGGCUAAAACUCAAAGGAAUUGACGGGGGCCCGCACAA
Molecule: ribosomal RNA, 868 nt
Filed under: Nocardiopsis sp. DST21
Lineage: Bacteria; Bacillati; Actinomycetota; Actinomycetes; Streptosporangiales; Nocardiopsidaceae
Description: bacterial SSU rRNA
Rfam family: Bacterial small subunit ribosomal RNA
Source: RNAcentral